Molecule: ribosomal RNA, 253 nt
Filed under: uncultured bacterium
Lineage: Bacteria
Description: partial 16S ribosomal RNA
Rfam family: Bacterial small subunit ribosomal RNA
Source: RNAcentral
CACGUAGGGCGCAAGCGUUGUCCGGAAUUAUUGGGCGUAAAGAGCUCGUAGGCGGUCUGUUGCGUCCGCUGUGAAAACUCGGGGCUUAACCCCGAGCCUGCAGUGGAUACGGGCAGACUAGAGGUAGGUAGGGGAGAAUGGAAUUCCCGGUGUAGCGGUGAAAUGCGCAGAUAUCGGGAGGAACACCGGUGGCGAAGGCAGGUCACUGGGCCGCAACUGACGCUGAGGAGCGAAAGCAUGGGGAGCGAACAGG